Molecule: ribosomal RNA, 234 nt
Filed under: uncultured bacterium
Lineage: Bacteria
Description: partial 16S ribosomal RNA
Rfam family: Bacterial small subunit ribosomal RNA
Source: RNAcentral
CCGCACGGGUGCGUAACGCGUAUGCAACCUACCUUUAACAGGGGAUAACACUGAGAAAUUGGUACUAAUACCCCAUAAUAUCAUAGAAGGCAUCUUUUAUGGUUGAAAAUUCCGAUGGUUAGAGAUGGGCAUGCGUUGUAUUAGCUAGUUGGUGGGAUAACGGCUCACCAAGGCGACGAUCGGUAGCCGGACUGAGAGGUUGAACGGCCACAUUGGGACUGAGACACGGCCCAG